This is a non-coding RNA of Spodoptera litura, 8445 nucleotides long. Lineage: Eukaryota; Metazoa; Arthropoda; Insecta; Lepidoptera; Noctuidae. The record is from RefSeq and is a predicted model, not a curated record.
CAUUGACUGUCUGAAGCUCGUGUUUAUGUAUACCCCCGUGUCGGUUUGUUUAUACCCAGUAAUGUUGAAUAACGAUUGACUUGUUAGGUUGACUUCAAGUUUUAGAUUGUGGUAAAGUGAAAGUAUUACGUAUUUAUUUGGGUACUGUGUAUUAAGUUUUUGUGAUUCUAAUAAAAUAUUUAGAGAUCUUUUAAUUCAUAAGGGUUUGGUAAAAAUAUUAAGAAAUAAUAAUAAAAUAAUAAAUAAGUUUUGAAAUUAAACGGAGAUUAAUUUUAUGUCUCGAAUAGGCAAAAAACGAAGACGUGGCAAUGUCGUAGAAUCAAUAGGCAGGCAAAGUUAGUAAACUUUCGCCAUGUAAAGCGGUGAUUGCACACUUUCGCCCUGUUUUUCUAUAUGUAAAAAUGUCAAUGGAUGACUUCGUGCACCGUUCACAAGCGAGCGUGCGGGUAUUCUCGUGUGAUACAAACAAACAUCGUCGAGCGGCGGGCGCGGCCACAGCACCGCACUUGUUUGUUCACGCGUCGCCGGCGUGACCACCUUGUUUACCAUUGCGAACUCCUCACGAUCUCCGCAUUCAACAGACCGUUACGGCUGCAAUCAUUCAACUAUCGUAAACACAAACGUAUCCUUCAGAUACUGGGUACACGCAGAUUGUUCAGUUAAUGCUGCCGCGCAAUAUGCAUGAUUUGCACGACCUUUAACACGCACUAGUGGUACGCUCACGUGGGUAGGUGUAAUAGCCAAAAAUAUUUGCAUCAGAUGUCUUCAAAAGCUCAUAUUAUUUUCCAGUUUGUCGUGUAAUAAUUAAUUUAUUUGGGAUUAAAUUUGAUGUAAGUAUCUUAUUUGGUACAAAAAUUAUGUAGCAGUUUAAUAAUUGCUUCAAGAUUUCCUCGAUCAGUCAGUGGGGAUAACAAAACAAUAUGCUACCUUCUUAUUGCUUACUAGGUACCAUGACAAGAGUUUUGCAAAAGCAGAUAACUGUAAAAUAAUUAAAUAUUUAUUUACAUAUCGCUCUUUACCCAAAUAUUGUUAUCUAGAUAAAAUUGAAACGCCGACGCCAUCGCCACAAUGUUUGUCGUACGUCAUCACUGAUGUUGUGGCGUAAUACUUUGCGGAGGAGGUUAUGUACACCCACAUUCUUUAUCUUUUCUGAUAAUUUUGUAGGGCUUGUGCUUUGUGGAAAAAUACAGGUUGCACCGGAAAGUAACCUACUUAUAAUUAUCCCAAAACAUCAAAAAUCUAAAUGAAGAUUUAGUAUAAAAUCAACGAUUGUUUAUGAACGUAAACAAAGGUUGGUGUCGCAUCAUACAUAAGUACUUAAUAAUAAUUAGAGGUCGUUCUGAGUGCGACGAAGGAUGUCUGCUGUUGAAUGGUGUUCAACACAGGUUGUUUAUACUUUGUGAUUAAUGAUCAUGCAGUGAGAAUUCCUCAUUCAUCUUUCGUUUUUCUUCAUUUUAAUAAUGAUGGUACAGUGUCGUACGAGCUAUCCUCGUGACCGGACGUUUUACUAAUUAGUUAUUCCAUUUAAGCGCUUAUCGCAUAUUUUGUUUACGCGCGGCCCAACCGGUUUCCCCGGUCGGGCUUGCAGCUGUUGUUUGUGCAUAUGAGUGAGUCGAACGUAAAUGAAUCAAAUAUAAUAAAUUCGUUAUCGAGCGCUGACGAGUUAGAGGACGGUACAAACAUGGAUAUUGAGGACAAUACACAACAGGUUGAAACGGAGUUGAUAGGAGGGAAAAGGAUAAGGGAUGAAAACUCUUCAGAGGAUGGAUGGAGUGUAGUUAAUAGAGGGAGAAGCAAACUUAUAUGUAGUAGGGAACAGCACGAUGAGAGAAUAAGAGAAGAGAGAACACAGGUAUGCGUCACGUGUAAAGAACCUUUGCCGAAACAAUUCGCUUUGGCACGCCUAUUUAAGACACGCAAUAUUCCCAGCGGCAAGAUCUAUAAGAUUAAAUACGUACAUCAGUAUAAAAUGCUGAUUACGUUUGAUAAUGAUAUGGGUGCAGAGGAAUUUAUAAAGUGUUCGGUGUUUACUGACAUGGGUUGGUCUUGCCAAAAGACUUCGGAAGUAGGUGUAUCAUACGGACUCAUUAGAGCAAUGGAACUUGACAUUUCUGAUGAAGAUCUUAAAAGUAAUUUAUCAAGCAGUGCUGAAAUAACAUCGAUUAAAAGAUUAAAUAAACGUUGCUCGGAUGACCCCGAAGGUAACGGCUGGUCUCCGAGUGAAACAAUUCGGCUAGGGUUCAAAGGGCCCUCCUUACCAGCUUAUGUUUAUAUUUACAACCUGAGGAUUCCAGUGGAGCGGUUUGUAUUUCCGGUUACUCAAUGUGCUAACUGCUGGAAAUUUGGCCAUUUAAAGAUAAGAUGUCCAUCCAAGCAGCCUGUUUGCCCCAAAUGCUCAUUAAAACACCUCAAUUGCACAACCACUUCAUUCACUUGUGUAAAUUGUUCAGGCUGUCAUAUGGCGCUCGAUAAAGUAUGUCCAUCUUAUAAGAAGGAAAAGAAGCUACGCGAUAUUAUGUCAGAAUUUAACUGCACUUAUAGGAAGGCGCUCACCCUAUACGUUCCGCCUUCCCCCGUCCAAAUUCCUCAAGUGGUUGCCAAUCCAACGCUCGACGGCAGCCUGACUUAUGCAGAAAUUACCAAAUCCAAACCACUAACAGCGGAGGCAAAUGUUGGUACAGCCUUGGAAAUAAACGACCCAGAUACAGCGACUACAAAUAUACGAGCUAAACCAAAACGGACUCUGAAGAAGCAUCGCCGACCAGUGACCCCCACGCCUUCUGAGAACAUACUAUGGCAUCAUAAUCCCGAGUCUUCAGAUUCUUCCGAAAAAUUGGACAAUCCUUUGGCAAAUAAGAAUGAACAUCUCGAUAAGACUUUACAUAAUUUGAGUUUUUGGCAUAUGAUACGAAAAAUUAGUAAUAUUAUAAAAAGUAAGAAAUCUCUUCAAAUUAAAAUCAAACAAUCACUUUCCAUAUUUACAGAGUGGCUGACACAAAAAAUUGUAAGUAGUUUAUCUAUUGAUUCGAUAUUUGAUUUAUUUGUCGGAAAUGGCUAAUGAUAAUGUUUAUACAAACUUAAAUAUUAUGCAAUGGAAUUGCCAGAGCAUACGACCCAAAUCUCAUUCACUCGAAUUACACCUAAAUCAGGAAAAAAUACACAUUGCCGUGUUAAGUGAGACUUGGUUGGAACCCGAAAGUUCUUUUAGAAUUAACGACUACAAUACGUAUAGGUUAGAUAGAGAAGAUCGUUACGGUGGUGUCGCCGUUAUGACUCAUCGCUCUGUAAGGUCUAUUGUUUGCCCAACACAAAGUCGUAAUCCUGGUAUUGAACUAUUGCAUAUUAAAAUUUUAAAUUGUCAGCAUAUUGAGAAUGUAAUCUCCAUUUAUUGCCCGUCGACGGUACACACCACUCCAAGUGAUUGGGACGCAAUCUUUUCUAUUGCUAACAGAAAAACUCUCAUCUUAGGCGAUUUUAAUGCUCACCACUCAAAUUGGUCUGUAAGAACUGAUCGACGCGGCUCCGAAAUAUUUGACUCCAUGUUGGAUUAUAAUUUCAUUCAUUUAAACGAUGGUAGCUUCACUAGAAUUCGAAUGGUUGAUGGUGUUCUCCAGAAGUCUAGCCCUGAUAUCUCAUUCGUUUCUGUAGAUUUAUCCCUGUUAUUUACGUGGAAGCCAACAAACGAAUCGCUCGGUAGUGAUCAUUUAAUAAUUAAAUUGAUUUGCUCGCUUAAUAUUAGCACAGACUAUCAACAUAAAAGAAAUUUUAAAAAAUCUGACUGGACUUCUUACGCCACAUUUAUAGAUGAACAAUUACAAAACUGUAUUAUAUCCCAGGACCCUCAGAGUUCAUAUGACCAAUUAUAUAAUAUAAUUCAAAAAGCCGCUGACAAGUAUAUUCCAAAUAUAAGAAUUCCUCAAAACAUUUCUAGCUCAUUUAAGCCAAAACCAUAUUGGUCCCCAGAUCUGUCCAAGGCGGUUGCGGAGCGGCGUUUGGCUUUGGCGAAGCUGAGAAGUUGCCCCUCUCCGCGUAAUUUAGAUAUCCUCAAGGAGAAAAUAAGCACUGCUCAGAGGCUUAUUCGCAAGGCUCGGUGUAAAUCUUUUCAACAGUUUUGUACAUCUAUUGACGAGACCACUUCUGCAUCCGAAAUGUGGCGUAAGAUGAGGUGGUUGAAAAGUCGGCAAGUGCCUAACACCAGUGUAGACAAAGAGAAAGCCCAGCGCCUACUUAAAGAUCUCACUCCAGAUUUUGUAAGUCCUCCGCAGCCUUCUUUUAGUUCCAAUAAUGCCAUGCUAGAGUCUCCAAUCUUAAUGUCUGAAUUAAUCAACUGCAUCAAGAAUUGCGAUACAACUCCUGGGGCAGACCAAAUUUCCUUUUCCAUGAUUAAACACCUUCCGCCUUCCGGUAAACAAAUGUUGCUUCAAAUAUAUAAUCAAUGUUUUUCUGUGGGUUUUGUUCCUCAUCAAUGGCGCCAAAUUAAAGUCGUCCCAAUCCCAAAGCAUAGUUCAGCCUCAUCUUUGCGCCCUAUCUCCUUAAUAUCAUGCAUCUGUAAAAUUUUUCAUGCCACUUUGGCCAAGCGUAUAGAAUGGUUCUUUGAAAAACAGGGUUUAUUUUCUGAGGACAUGGUAGGUUUUCGUAAGGCACGAUCUUCUCUCGACAAUCUCUCUAGAUUAGUGUCGGAAAUACAACUAGGAUUUUCAAAGAAUUGGGUGACAGCGGCAUGUUUCAUUGACAUUGAAAGUGCCUACAACAAUGUUGAUGUCUCCUGCCUGGUACGUAUUUUGGAUCAGUUUGAGGUUGGGUCAAAAGUCUGUACCUACUUGUGGUCAUUUUUAUCAAACAGGCAUCUGCAUGUGGUUACGCCCGAUUGCGAAAUUGUCAGAUCUACUGGCCGUGGGCUAGCCCAAGGAGACCCGCUAGCUCCACUUUUAUUUAAUAUUCUUACAUCGCAUAUAUGUCAUAAUAUUACUCAGGUUAGUAUCUCUCAAUAUGCUGAUGAUUUUGUGUUGUAUUCGAACAAAAAUAAUUUAGAUUUAGCAUUUGAAGAUCUUCGGUCUGCUUUACGAUACACUAUAAUGUUAAUUGAUAAAUUAGGUUUAACGAUUUCUCCAAAUAAAACUAAGAUAUGUGUUUUUAAAAAAGGAUGUUUUAGGAAAUCAAUUAAUUUUGGUUUAGAUGAUGAUAUUUCAAUUGAUGUUGUUAGUAAUAUAAAAUAUUUAGGUCUUUGGCUGGAUAGUUCGUUAAGAUGGGGUAAGCAUAUUAAUGAAACCGCCCAGAAACUACUAAAAUUCAUUAAUCUACUUAAAGUUUUAUCAGGUCCGGGAUGGGGAGUCCACCAAAAACAUAUAAGACGUCUAUAUAUUUCCAUAAUUCGAAGCAGAAUUGAUUAUGCCAGUUUCUUAUAUGACAAUAGCUGCAACUCUAAAUUAAUUAAAUUAGAUCGUAUUCAAAAUCAGGCAUUGCGCGUUAUUGGAGGAUUUAUACGCAGCACCCCAAUACAUGUUAUGGAAAGCGAGUUAUGUAUUCCACCACUUUUUAUACGUCGUAAAUACUUAGCCAGUAAAUUCAUUUUAAAAUCAAAAUCUCUUCUCAAUAAUAAAACUAUACAAUUACUAGAAAAACUUUCACUAGUCACAGGUUCCAGUUAUUGGCGCAAUAAAAAGUUGCCGUUACUCAUUAACAUCCUUUCACAGUAUGACUCUUCUCCUGUACACUCUUGUGCUCAACUUGGAAUGUUUUCCCUCGAUAAGUGGAUCAGUAGCAUAGAUUUGUCCCAUAUCGUCAUUGAUAAAAUUCCUAGUAUCAGUAAAGCUAAACGUCAUUACAAUGUCAUACAGUUAAAACAAUUAUGUAUUUCAUAUAUACAAGAUCAAUAUUCAGACUAUCAUAAAAUUUUUACUGACGGUUCCAAAGACAAACUUUCGGGAGGGGCAGCCUUUUGGGACCCAGUUCUGAUAAGCCAUUUGAAGUUUAAAAUUGAUUCAGAUAUUUCCAUUAUGCACAUUGAGCUGAUUGCUAUAUUGGAAGCCUUAUCCUAUAUUCUGUCGGUCAAUGGCGAUAAAUUUGUGAUUCUGACAGAUUCCAAAAGUUCGCUGCAACAUUUGGCUCGGAACACUUCUCACAUGCGAGGUAUUCCGACAGCCUUUGCCAUAUAUGAAUCAAUCUUAAAACUUCAAUCCAGUGGUAGAACAGUUCGUCUCCAAUGGAUUCCGUCACACGUACAGUAUGAGGAGAAUGAUGUGGUGGAUAUGCUCGCCAAGCAAGCAUGCGUUGAUGGUGUUACCAUGAAUGUUACCCCACUGUUUUCGGACUAUUUUAGAAAAGCAAAAAAUAAGUGUUUUGAUCUUUGGCAGGAGUAUUUUGACGAAAGGUCAAAAGAAAAGGGGAUUUGGUAUCGGACUAUCCAGUCAGAGAUUCCUCGGGUUCCAUGGAUUGAUUGUGAUCUCAAUAAAAUUUUAGUCACUAUUGCUUUAAGGCUUCGCUCCGGACAUAUUCCAUCAAAUAAGUUUAACUAUUUAAUGAAAAAAGUUCCGUCGCCAUGUUGUGAUUCAUGCGGAGUGGUCGAGGAUGUCUUCCAUAUCUUGAUGGAAUGUGCCCGGAAUGAAAAUGUUAGGAUCCACAUUUUGGGAUGGCAAAGAACGAAUGAUAUCGGUUUCUGUAACGCUGUUCUUGCUCAUCCAACAUCUGACGGAGCGAAACAUUUAUAUCAAUUAGUUAUAAGUAGGUAGAUCGUAAGCUAUUGAUAAGUACUAAACAUUAUUUAUCUCGAACUGGGCGAUGUGGUCGCUAAGCGACAAAGCCCUUUAAAAUAAAUAAAAAAAAAAAAUAAAAAAUAAAAUAAUGAUGGUAGUCAAAUAGCUCAUAAUAACUAGCUAACUGUUAAACAAACACGUGAAUGCUGACUAAACGUUAGUUAACCCUAAAACGGAUGUCAAUUGUAGGAAGAGUAAACAAAAGUGCCAAGUUAAAUGCACUGCAUCCGUCUCUACCCGAUUAAACUGACGAUAGUACAUAGAGCCAGCCUUAGUAUAUUUAUAUCAUUUCUACACAAGAUAAAAUAGUCAAACCUCCAUUAUUUGUUUUGCUCGGACAAAUCUCAACAUUACAUAAAGUCAUGUGGGUUAUGUCGCAAACAGCAAAGCAAUAGUGUAAAGGAACAUUGAGUGGUGGGGAUCUAGGUCGGGUAUGAAGUCGGUGUUAGUAGACGGUGGAAUCCGUUGGUGUGGGAAUGCGAGUGUAAGUACCGUUGCGACGGUGGUCUACACCGCCGCCGCCGCACCGUCCCAACGCAGUGCCCCAGCUGCGGAAUGCGAGACCCAUUUGCGGCGCUUACAACAGAGCUUAAUUGUUAGUGACUCACUUCCUAACCAAAUUUUAAUCAAAAGCAAAGUUGCUUACAUUAUUAUUUGUAAUGUUGAUUAAAAUAAAUGAAAACUAGUAGAAAGUUUCCGACCUAAUGUAAGUAACAAUUUAGAUAAACAAACUUUGUUUUCAUAGUACUCUAUUUAAGAUAUUAUACAAUGAUUUUUUCCUCACUAUUUAAUAUUGUAUUAAGUUUAUUUAUAGUAUCCAACCUCGGAGACAGUCUAUCUCUUAAGUAACGUACGUAAUUAGCAGUGCUGUGACCUAGUAGCAAUUAUAGUUUGUAACUCGUCGCCUUACCCUCCCCCCAGUAUUGGAUUUUUCCACUAGUAAAUACACAUCUCGGAAGAGGCUAGCGCCCACAAAGACUUUCACUGAAAGCAGUGUCGGCGAGACAAUUUUGCCAAUGCCAAAAUAAUGUCUUAACCUAAAAAACAAAUGUACAGUGGAAAUUGAAGAAUGGACAUUCCCGCAAAGUAACUGUUAUAUUAUAGUUACUUUCAUUUGCCGCUUUUCAUUAAGUUUGCUUUUGGCUAAUAUACCGUUAAACACGAACUCGCGGUAUUCUGCAGCGUUGCUAGAAAGAGACAAAAUUGCGAAUGCAACUGCUAUCUCUAUCACCACUCACGUUGAAUGGAAGCGUCAUUUUUUGUUCGACGACGGCCCCGUAAAAAAUGAACAAAAACUCGAGCUACGAACUCGAAAAAUUGGAUCAUCGAACUGUAGGCGAGGCCAGUGAACGUGGCAGGCGGAGAACAUUUUGACUAUUUAAAUCCUCGAUGCUGAAAUCUUACAUUUGAUAUAGUAAAUAUUUGCAAUAUUUUUUGGAAAUAACUGAAUUAAAUAUUCAUAAUAUUAUAAAAACACCAAAAAGUGACUAUAAAUGAACUUUAAAUUCAAAACCAUUAAUGGCCAAAAAAGAGGUCACCGUUUUAGGACCUCCAUGCAAAUAAAAACAAAAAUAUCGUUGACGUUCCAUUGACAAACUGUUGUAAACACGUCAUGAUGAAUUUUAAAUUAACGGCCGAGCGUCUAGUGAGUUACGGGCCCCAAUUGCUGCGGCCGAAAUCAUAGUAGAGACAC